Molecule: long non-coding RNA, 545 nt
Organism: Eubalaena glacialis (North Atlantic right whale)
Lineage: Eukaryota; Metazoa; Chordata; Mammalia; Artiodactyla; Balaenidae
Exons: 3
Source: RefSeq, a predicted model, not a curated record
CAAUCAAUCAAUCAAAGAUUCUAUAAUCCAGUGGAUUAAAAAUAAAGGCAGCACUGCCUAAACCCCAGCAACAGAAGGAGGGAGGGCUGCACGCCAGGCUGGGGCUGUCUCAUUUUGGAGAGAAACCCCGAGGAAUUGGAGGAUUCUCAAUUUGAACCUGGCCUUCCGGGUGCUUAUGAAGAGGCAUAAGAGAAAUCACUCCUCCUUCUGCAGAGCUUAGAGGAUUUGAAUGGUGGUCAAAAGGAAGCAGCACCAUAAAGACCAACAGCAAGAGCUUCAUCCCAGCCAUGAACACUGAUGGUUUGAUGAUAAGGAGAAAGCAUGCAAAGAAAUGCACAGGUGGAGAUCAACUGAGGCAGACCUCGUACCUAAAGCCUGUAUUUUGGACAAAUGCAUAACCAAACAAGUGUGUUCUGUGGUUAGAAUUCUUGCCAUGAAUGAGAAAUGCCUGCUAGGUAGAUGGUAUCAGACCAUUUGCCUAUUAUGAUGUGAAGGAAGUCCCACAACAUGCCUUUCUGGAUUAACAUCUAAGGCUUCCAAGUUGA